Tachyglossus aculeatus (Australian echidna) is the source of this 186-nucleotide small nuclear RNA. RefSeq annotates it as U2 spliceosomal RNA. The transcript has a single exon. The record is from RefSeq and is a predicted model, not a curated record. NCBI's taxonomy places the organism in Eukaryota, Metazoa, Chordata, Mammalia, Monotremata, Tachyglossidae.
ACAGUUUCAAUCCCCAUUUGAUGGAUGUGUAGUAUCUGUUCUUUUCAGUUUAAUAUCGAUAUGUCUUUGAUGUGAAGACGCUGUGUUAAGCAGCUUUUUGGAGAAAGGAGGUGGGUUGGGAGCUUGCUCCGUCCCCUCCACACAUCGGUCUGGUAUUGCUUUGCUUCCAGGAGAAGUGUGAGAAGC